AUGCCCGAGCUCCUCCUCUCUCCCGCGCGCCCGAGCUCCUUGUUGUGCGCCGCCCAGGAGGGCUUGCGCUCGCCGCUCGACCAGAGCCACCGCGAGCUGGGCGUCGUUGCACUUGCCGGCGACCUGGCCGUCCCCUCUGCACCGCCCUCCACCUCAAAUUUCGACGAGCAUGUGUUUGUGUAUGUUCUCAGUUAUUUUUUGCACACAAGGUGUUUGUGUGUUUGUCCGAGCCAGUUUCAGUCACAGAUCCUUAAGGAUGCCAUCUCAGGUCAUGGAUCCACUGUGGCCGCUUCGUCCUUCACUGAGGACCUUCUCAUCCCCACAGAGAUCUGA
RNAcentral lists this ribosomal RNA (333 nucleotides) under Triticum aestivum (bread wheat). RNAcentral describes it as "partial small subunit ribosomal RNA". The record is from RNAcentral. Lineage: Eukaryota; Viridiplantae; Streptophyta; Magnoliopsida; Poales; Poaceae.